UCCCUAAUGGCUCAGCUGGUAAAGAAUCUGCCUGCAAUGCAGGAGACCUGGGUUCAAUCCCUGGUUUGGGAA
Non-coding RNA from Bos taurus (domestic cattle), 72 nucleotides. The record is from Rfam. NCBI's taxonomy places the organism in Eukaryota, Metazoa, Chordata, Mammalia, Artiodactyla, Bovidae.